GUAGGUGGCAAGCGUUAUCCGGAAUUAUUGGGCGUAAAGCGCGCGCAGGCGGUUUCUUAAGUCUGAUGUGAAAGCCCACGGCUCAACCGUGGAGGGUCAUUGGAAACUGGGGAACUUGAGUGCAGAAGAGAAAAGCGGAAUUCCACGUGUAGCGGUGAAAUGCGUAGAGAUGUGGAGGAACACCAGUGGCGAAGGCGGCUUUUUAGGUCUGUAACUGACGCUGAGGCGCGAAAGCGUGGGGAGCAAACAGGGAUUAGAUACCCUGGUAGUCCACGCCGUAAACGAUGAGUGCUAAGUGUUAGAGGGUUUCCGCCCCUUUAGUGCUGCAGCUAACGCAUUAAGCACUCCGGCCUGGGAGUACGGUCGCAAGACUG
This 374-nucleotide ribosomal RNA is filed under the name uncultured organism. RNAcentral's name for it is "partial 16S ribosomal RNA". It matches the Rfam family "Bacterial small subunit ribosomal RNA", at positions 527 to 896 of the family's 1533-position model. The record is from RNAcentral.